RNAcentral lists this long non-coding RNA (5480 nucleotides) under Equus caballus (horse). RNAcentral describes it as "lncRNA (ENSECAG00000043894.1)". Lineage: Eukaryota; Metazoa; Chordata; Mammalia; Perissodactyla; Equidae. The record is from RNAcentral.
CCUGAAUGAGGGACUCUUCACUUCUGAUAAGAGUCCAACUUUUAAGUUCUGGUUGUGUUCCAGUCCUUCGGUUCCAUGGAAGGAGAGAUCUUUGGCCCUAUGGUCAUUUCAGAAUUUCUUCAGGGACUUCGGAUUGAGGCUCUUCUUCAAAUCUACCAGUGCUGCUUGGAAGGCACAGGCUUGAUCUGGGAGGACUUUAUAUCAAUUCUUUCUGGUGAAAAAGCCACUUGGGCAUUUAGUUUUCUUGGUAUAUCUGAUCCCAGCAAUGGGAUAGGGCACUCAGGCAUAUAUAGAAAGCUGUGCUUUAGAUACAUUUUCCCUACGUAAUACUCAAGUAGUUUUAGGAGAAGUUCAUGAGCGACUUCCCCAGAUACCCCAGUAAUGGAUGUGGUCUUGGAGAGAGGGGCUCCUGUUUGGUGUUUAGUACAGAAUAAGUAGCUCUGGUGGGUCAAUUAGAAAGUCUAUCAGUUUCUGUCCCACUACUAUUGUCACUCAGGGAUCCUUGUGGGAAAUAUCGAUGGAGCUAAUGGAGUUUAAAAGAACCCCUGGGCCCCAUCAUUCUUGGUUGCUGUCAGCAAAUUGGGAUAUCUAGUGGUUAGGUACAUUGGUUUCCUCUCUCAACUUCUGAGAAUGUUUGGGACAUUCCUUUUUCCAAUGGCCUUUGUGCUUACAGUAAGCACAUUGUCUUGGCCCCAGAGCUGAAUUUCCCUUGUUACUGGAAGGUGGGGGCCCUAUGGGUCUUAUCCAUAGCAGUCUAUCUUUUCUCGUUGGCCUUGGUGGAUUGUGGCUGCGGGCUGCAGCGAACAGAGUUGCUUGCUUUCACAUUUCCCACUGUUUUUGAUUCUCUUGUUCUUGGUCAUGGCUGUUAAACACUUUAAAAGCAAUCUCCACCAGCUGUGAGAUGUGUAUCCCUAAUCCCCCUUCUAAUUUUUGCAGGUUUUUCCUUAUAUCAGGGGAACUCUGGCUGAUAAAGCUCAUAUUGAUCAAAUUCAUGUUAUCCAUAUUCUCUGGGUCCAUAUCAGUAUACUUUCUGUAGGCUUCAAAGACUCUCUCUAGAAAGAUUGAAGGAUUUCCCUCUGGCCUUUGUUGUACCUCCUGGACCUUAUUUAAACUCUUCAGUUUUGGGACCCCCUUUUGCAUUCCAGUUGUUAAACAUGCUUUAUAAUGCUUUAACCUUGCCCAACCACUGGGGUCAUUGGGACCGCAACCUGGGUUGACUCCAGGUAGAGUCUCCACCACUGGAGCCCUGACUGGAUUGUUAGGUUGUAACACAUGGAGUCUCUCAGCCUCCUGAUGAGUUUUGUCCAAUACCAUGCUAUACUCUUCUGGGCUGAGGAGGGUGUUCAUAAGGGACUGAAUGUCAGCCCAGUUAGCGUCAUGAGUAGCAAAGAUGAACAUUAAUAAACUCUCCAUUUAGGGGGAUAAACUCAAGAAGUAGGCAUGUUGUUUUUCCUGUUGUAUAAGUCUGAAGUUGAAAAUGGAGUACGCACACACAAAACUCCUCUGAGCUGGGCUUGGUCAUGGAGACCUGCAGGGACUUGUCUUAGUGAGAAUUGCCCUGCCUGGCAUGAAUGGUUUCUUGGGCCAAAUUGAGUACCUCAAUGGGUUUGAGGAGGGGAGACCAUUCCUGUCUGAUUAUUAAGUAAAGGGACGUAUAAAGCCAAGCCAGAGGCUUCUGGGGGCUCAUUAUGCCCUUCCUGGUUAUCUCCAACUGCACCUCUGGCAUACGAUGGAGGUGCUGUAGGAGACAGCAAAGAUGGAAAGACAAGGUCAUAAUCUCACUUUGAUUCUAGGAGAACAGGUUUUUUCUGUGGAUCUUCCCUCUGAAUCAUGGUCUUACAUCUCUUUUCCAAAUUCUUAUUCUGAUAUAAAGACAUCAAAAAUUGCAUAUAAGGGAUCUUGUCUCAUUUAUUUUCUCUUUUAUAGAUCUAAUUGCAAGAUGGUAUUGUAGUUCAGAAACCCGUCCUAGGGCCAUAACUCAUCUGACCCCAGUGAGUAUUGGGGCGACCUUGUACUACAAAAGAAAGUCAUUUUCUUUUUCUUCAUAGGCUUAUAACUGAACUCUGCCCAAUUUUGAAGAAUGCAUCCUAGUGAGCUACACAUUGGUAUAUCAUUUUUAGUUCCCAUUUUAGGGGAGCUUUUAUCAAGGUGGCUGCAACAAACAAGGUUUCUCUAAGGGAAGGUGUUUAAGGUCUGAUAGUGUACUUGUGGGAACAGCUCCUCCAAGAAUAACCAAGGGGUUGGCUCUUUCACUUACAUGUUCUGGAACCCAUAAAUUUCAGGUGAUUUGAGCCCCAGAAGAGCUGUCACUGACAGUCGCCUCACCACGAACAAUGAGGGCCCAAAGACAUAUGUUCUCAGAAGGGGGUAGCUAUGAGGUCAUUGUACACCAUGGGCAGAUAACUCUGACACCUCUGUAAAGUCUCCAGUCACCUGGGAAUGUCCCAAAGAACUGGAAGGAACAGUGCUUCUUUUCUUCAGAGUCAGAGAACCUCAUGAGGUUAAUUUCUAAGAGGAGUUUGUUAUGGUCACAGAGAAACUCAGUUCUCAAAUAGUCAACUCAAUUCAGACAAACAUUAACGCACAAUACAAUUCUACACAUAACAUAGACCAGAAUACUAGCUAGUUUGCCAGGAGUAGCUCAGAAGCAGUGCCAGGAGGUACCUGAAAACUGAUGGCCUGGGGCAACUCAGACCCAGUGCCAGGAGUUGCACAGAUGCAGAAGCAACUUCAUGAUCGAACCUAUUAUCCUGCCUCUAAUUCCUUUGAGUGGUUCAUGCCCAAGGUUUAGGACUCAGCCAGCCAGGAUUCUCCAGAAUAUGAGCUAAACAUCUAUUUCUAGGAAAUCAAACCAGAGAGAUAAGGUAAAGGACAGUCACUUUCUUAAAAUUACUCACCCAGAGCCCAAACAUGUCUUGAGCCAGAAACUGUUUCUUCCCUCAAAAAGAAAAAGAAAAACAGUAGUGCCUUGGGGCCUACAGUGUCACAGUAGAAGUAUGAGUCCGAUCAGCAGAGUGUCUAGACAAAAUUGUUUAGGCAGCUGCUUAGGGUUGAUGAAAAGACCCCAUGCCCCAUGGGAGGAUCCAGAGCAUCAGGCAGGCAGGAACAGGUGCUCGUCCCUUUGUGGUUGCCAAUUUGUUACUGCACAAAAUUGGGGUUCUCUUGCCCAAUGCAUAUCAAAAAACAUUAAUUAUGACACAUGCUUUUUGGGGAGAAAUCAGCUUUAUUCUGUGAAAUCAAUCAGCAGGAAGACAGGGGCAUGUGCCUUCAGAUAUGUGUCCCCAAUUCAGGAUUUGGGUGAAAUUUAAGAGGUUAAGGAGAACAAGCUGGUAGGCAGAAAUGUUGGUGGGACAGGUUUUGAUUGGUGGGCUUCAAACAUUUAUGGUAAGGUUCUAAACAUAUAGGACAGAGUUCUGAACAUUUAUGAUAGGGUUCUAAACAUUUAUGAUAGCGUGGGGAAGGAAUUUUAACACCAGAUCUUCCUGAAUGAGGAACCCCUCACUUCUGAUAAGAGCCUGACUUUUAGGUUCCAGUCGUGUCCAGGUCCUUUGUUUCCAGGAGAGGAGGAUCUUUGUUCUCAUGGUCAUCUCAGGUCAAGAUUUCUUCUUCUGAGUGUGCUCUGGCUAUGUGACUUUGCAGAUUUUCUGAAAGACAGUCCUUAAUCACUUUGUUGAUAAGAGAUGGGGUCUGUUUGAACUGGCUCUAAAUGGGCCUGUGGUUACAUCUGUACUUCAUUCCUUUCCAUGGCUGGAUAAUCCUCCAUUAUAUGGACAGAGCACAUUUUGUUUACGUAUUCAUCUGUUGAUGAACGUUUGAAUUGUUUCCAUCUUUUGGCUGUUAUAAAUAAUGCUGCUGGGAACACUCACCUACAAGUUUUUGUGUGGACAUGUAUUUUUAUUUCUCUUGGAUUUAUACCUUGGUUGGAAUUGCUCUGUCACAGUAAAUCUGUGUUUAAUCUCUUGAGGAACUGCCGGACUGUUUUUCAAAGCAGCAGCACCAUUUUACUGUGCCAUUUUACUUAUUCUCAACAGGAGUGUAUGAGGCUUCCAAUUUCUCCACAUUCUGGUCAACACUUGUUAUUAUUUGACUUUUUAAUUCUAGUCAUCCUACUGGAUGUUAAGUGAUAUAGCAUUACGGUUUUGAUUAGCAUUUCCCUGAUGACUAAUAAUGUGAAGCAUCUGUUCCUGUGCUUAUUGACCAUUUGUAUAUCUUUGUAGAAAUUUUUAUUCAGACACUUUGCCCAUUUUAACAAAUUGUCAUAUUUGUGCAUAAGAAAAGUAAUGCAUAUUUGUGUUGGGGAAGACAGAGAGAUGGAAAAUUGGAAUAAUAAUACUAAAAGAAUAAUUCUAGCUAUAUGCUAAAUAAUUCUGUUUUGAAUAUCUAUUGCUCCUUAAAGCACUAACCCAAAAGUCAGUGAUACAAAUGAACAAUUUUAUUAUGCUCCCAGAUUCUGUGAGUCAGGAAUUCAGCCAGGGCACAGUGGGAUGGCUUGUCUUUGCUCCAAAAUGUCUGGGGAUUGAACUUCGAAUACUCCAACAACUGAAUAUGACUCAAAUGACAAGGACUGGUAUCACCAAAAACAUUCUUUACUCACAUGGACUGGGAUGAUUCCAAGUCUGGGCUCAGUUGGAAUGGUUGACCAGAUUGCCUCCUGGUGGCAUCUUCCUGUGGCUUGGGUUUCCUCACAGCAGGCUGGUCUCAGAUUUGUCAGACUUCUUAUAGACAGCUCAGGACUCUAAGAGGAAAUGUUAUUGUGACUAAGGCAAAAACUGCCAGCUUUUGAUGAUAGCCUUAGAAGUCCUACAAUAUCAUUUCCACUGUGCUAUAUGGGUUGAAGUAGUCAAAAUCCCACCCAACUUCAAGAGGAGGGAUUGCAGACCCAAGAUUCACUAAGAAGAGGGUUGAAAACCUGGCAUUCAUGUUUCAAAACUUCCAUAGACUCUAAGAGAUCCUGGUGUUACAUUGGACAGCAGAUUUUCUGUAUUUACAUAAAUUUGGGGUAUUUUAUAAAUAUUCUGUAUUUUUAAGGUGAGUAAUAAAGAUAAGCUUUGACUAUAAUUUAAGAUACUUGCUACAUGUGGUGAUUAGGAAAUGUACCUCUGCAAUCUCUGACUCAAGGAGCAUAAUUGGCUAUGUAAGAACAAAAGCAAAUUAAAUGUAACUUAAUUCUCCAAGUUAAAAAUAAGCAUCCCCUGCAGGGAUGUUUCAACAUCCGCAAAUCUAUCAACAUGAUACAUCACAUUAACAAAAUGAAGAGCAAAAAUCACAUGAUCAUCUCAAUAGAUGCAGAGAAAGCAUUUGACAAGAUACAGCAUCCAUUUACGAUAAAAACUCUAAAUAAAAUGGGUAUAGAAGGGAAAUGCCUCAACAUAAUAAAGGCCAUAUAUGACAAACCCACAGCAAAUAUCAUUCUCCAUGGAGAAAUACUGAAAGCUAUCCCUCUAAGAACAGGAACAAAACAAGGAUGCCCACUGUCACGG